Molecule: ribosomal RNA, 477 nt
Filed under: uncultured bacterium
Lineage: Bacteria
Description: bacterial SSU rRNA
Rfam family: Bacterial small subunit ribosomal RNA
Source: RNAcentral
UUCCGCAAUGGGCGAAAGCCUGACGGAGCGACGCCGCGUGCAGGAAGAAGGCCCUCGGGUUGUAAACUGCUGUCACACGUUAUGAAAAAAUUUAGGUUAAUACCCUGAGUCUUGACGUAAGCGUGAAAGGAAGUCACGGCUAACUUCGUGCCAGCAGCCGCGGUAAGACGAAGGUGGCAAACGUUGCUCGGAAUCACUGGGCGUAAAGAGCACGUAGGUGGGUUUGUAAGUCAGAUGUGAAAGCCUUCUGUUCAACGGGAGAAUUGCAUCUGAAACUACAGAUCUUGAGUAUAGGAGGGGAGAGUGGAACUUCUGGUGGAGCGGUGAAAUGCGUAGAUAUCAGAAGGAACGUCGGCGGCGAAAGCGACUCUCUGGCCUAUUACUGACACUGAGUGUGCGAAAGUUAGGGGAGCAAACGGGAUUAGAUACCCCGGUAGUCCUAACCGUAAACGAUGGGCACUAAGUAGAGGGGUUUUA